RNAcentral lists this ribosomal RNA (254 nucleotides) under uncultured bacterium. RNAcentral's name for it is "partial 16S ribosomal RNA". It matches the Rfam family "Bacterial small subunit ribosomal RNA", at positions 524 to 776 of the family's 1533-position model. The record is from RNAcentral.
UACAGAGGGUGCAAGCGUUAAUCGGAAUUACUGGGCGUAAAGCGUGCGCAGACGGUUGCGUAAGUCAGAUGUGAAAGCCCCGGGCUCAACCUGGGAAUUGCAUUUGAGACUGCGUAGCUAGGGUGCGGAAGAGGGAAGCGGAAUUUCCGGUGUAGCGGUGAAAUGCGUAGAUAUCGGAAGGAACACCAGUGGCGAAAGCGGCUUCCUGGACCAACACUGACGCUGAGUGAGCGAAAGCCAGGGGAGCAAACGGG